GACUAUUCCAGGGAGAUCCCCGACAAGGGGCUGAGAAACCGCUGGGACCCGCGGCAUCGCCGCAGGUUUAGCGCGGAAAUCCUUCGAACCUGAUCCGGUUCAUACCGGCGUAGGGAUUGGAUUUCGAGCGCCUC
Molecule: non-coding RNA, 134 nt
Filed under: Rugositalea oryzae
Lineage: Bacteria; Pseudomonadati; Pseudomonadota; Alphaproteobacteria; Hyphomicrobiales; Nitrobacteraceae
Also listed under: 1 other name
Description: Rhodoplanes sp. Z2-YC6860 TPP riboswitch aptamer (THI element)
Rfam family: TPP riboswitch aptamer (THI element)
About the family: Vitamin B(1) in its active form thiamin pyrophosphate (TPP) is an essential coenzyme that is synthesised by coupling of pyrimidine and thiazole moieties in bacteria. The previously detected thiamin-regulatory element, thi box was extended, resulting in a new, highly conserved RNA secondary structure, the THI element, which is widely distributed in eubacteria and also occurs in some archaea.
Source: Rfam by way of RNAcentral